UCUCUGGUGGCUCAGAGGGUAAAGAAUCUGCAUGAAAUGUAGGAGACCCAGGUUCAGUCCCUGGCUUGAGAA
Molecule: transfer RNA, 72 nt
Filed under: Ovis aries (sheep)
Lineage: Eukaryota; Metazoa; Chordata; Mammalia; Artiodactyla; Bovidae
Rfam family: tRNA
About the family: Transfer RNA (tRNA) molecules are approximately 80 nucleotides in length. Their secondary structure includes four short double-helical elements and three loops (D, anti-codon, and T loops).
Source: Rfam by way of RNAcentral